RNAcentral lists this ribosomal RNA (473 nucleotides) under uncultured bacterium. Its description in RNAcentral is "bacterial SSU rRNA". It matches the Rfam family "Bacterial small subunit ribosomal RNA", at positions 29 to 507 of the family's 1533-position model. The record is from RNAcentral.
AGUUAACGUUGGCGGCGUGCCUAACACAUGCAAGUCGAACGCGUCCUAAGGGCAACUUUAGGAUGAGUGGCGAACGGGUGAGUAUCACGUGGGUAAUCUUCCUUCAAGUGGGGGAAUAAGCUCUCGAAAGGGAGUCUAAUACCGCAUGACAUUCCGGGACACAAGUCCCGUAAUCAAAGCCGCAAGGCGCUUGAAGAUGAGCCUGCGUCCUAUUAGCUAGUUGGUGGGGUAACGGCCUACCAAGGCUUAGAUGGGUAGCCGGCCUGAGAGGGUGAACGGCCACACUGGGACUGAGACACGGCCCAGACUCCUACGGGAGGCAGCAGUGAGGAAUUUUGCGCAAUGGGGGAAACCCUGACGCAGCGACGCCGCGUGGAGGAUGAAGGCCUUCGGGUCGUAAACUCCUGUCAGAGGUGAAGAAUACCCGCAAGGGUUUGACGGUAACCUCAGAGGAAGCCCCGGCUAACUACGUG